UACGUAGGGGGCAAGCGUUGUCCGGAUUUAUUGGGCGUAAAGAGCGUGUAGGCGGCCUGACAGGUCUGCUGUGAAAACUCGAGGCUCAACCUCGAGAUGUCGGCGGAAACCGUCUGGCUAGAGUCCGGAAGAGGAGAGUGGAAUUCCUGGUGUAGCGGUGAAAUGCGCAGAUAUCAGGAAGAACACCUAUGGCGAAGGCGGCCGCCUGGUUGGAUACUGACGCUGAGACGCGAAAGCGUGGGGAGCAAACAGG
RNAcentral lists this ribosomal RNA (253 nucleotides) under uncultured bacterium. RNAcentral describes it as "partial 16S ribosomal RNA". It matches the Rfam family "Bacterial small subunit ribosomal RNA", at positions 524 to 776 of the family's 1533-position model. The record is from RNAcentral.